RNAcentral lists this ribosomal RNA (725 nucleotides) under uncultured bacterium. Its description in RNAcentral is "partial 16S ribosomal RNA". It matches the Rfam family "Bacterial small subunit ribosomal RNA", at positions 56 to 797 of the family's 1533-position model. The record is from RNAcentral.
UGCAGUCGACGAUGAAGCCCUUCGGGGUGGAUUAGUGGCGAACGGGUGAGGAMCACKUGAAGAAUCUGCCCUCCACUUUGGGAUAACUCCGGGAAACCGGGGCUAAUACCGAAUAUUGAAACAUAAGCGGCAUCGCUGARUUUUGAAAGAAUUUYKGKGKGRAKRASKWCUYSSCGRYCWAUCAGCUUGKWGGUGKGGUWAUGGCUCACCAARGCGACGACGGGUAGCCGGCCUGAGAGGGCGACCGGCCACACUGGGACUGAGACACGGCCCAGACUCCUACGGGAGGCAGCAGUGGGGAAUAUUGGGCAAUGGACGCAAGUCUGACCCAGCGACGCCGCGUGCGGGAUGAAGGCCUUCGGGUUGUAAACCGCUUUCAGCAGGGAAGAAGCGAAAGUGACGGUACCUGCAAAAGAAGCACCGGCUAACUAUGUGCCAGCAGCCGCGGUAAUACAUAGGGUGCAAGCGUUGUCCGGAAUUAUUGGGCGUAAAGAGCUCGUAGGUGGUUAGUUACGUCGGGUGUGAAAAUCUGGGGCUCAACCCCAGACCUGCACUCGAUACGGGCUAGCUAGAGUUUGGUAGGGGAGACUGGAAUUCCUGGUGUAGCGGUGGAAUGCGCAKAUAUCACGAGGAACACCAAUGGCGAAGGCAGGUCUCUGGGCCAAUACUGACACUGAGGAGCGAAAGCGUGGGGAGCGAACAGGAUUAGAUACCCUGGUAGUCCA